Molecule: ribosomal RNA, 468 nt
Filed under: uncultured bacterium
Lineage: Bacteria
Description: partial 16S ribosomal RNA
Rfam family: Bacterial small subunit ribosomal RNA
Source: RNAcentral
GACGAACGCUGGCGGCGUGCUUAACACAUGCAAGUCGAACGGAAAGGCCCUGCUUUUGUGGGGUGCUCGAGUGGCGAACGGGUGAGUAACACGUGAGUAACCUGCCCUUGACUUUGGGAUAACUUCAGGAAACUGGGGCUAAUACCGGAUAGGAGCUCCUGCUGCAUGGUGGGGGUUGGAAAGUUUCGGCGGUUGGGGAUGGACUCGCGGCUUAUCAGCUUGUUGGUGGGGUAGUGGCUUACCAAGGCUUUGACGGGUAGCCGGCCUGAGAGGGUUACCGGCCACAUUGGGACUGAGAUAGGGCCCAGACUCCUACGGGACGCAGCAGUGGAGAAUAUUGCACAAUGGGCGGAAGCGUGAUGCAGCAGCGUCGCGUGCGGGAUGACGGCCUUCGGGUUGUAAACAGCUUUCGCCUGUGACGAAGCGUGAGUGACGGUAAUGGGUAAAGAAGCACCGGCUAACUACGUG